GUAGACGGGAUGGUUGUGAGCGGGACAGAAACUCCACCACAAGGGUUCUGGGGGUACUACAGGGACUAAAGGAAGCAGUGUGAUCAGUGUGAAAGCAGCAAGGCCAUGAUUUAUUUCUUGGGCGUGUAGUUUUCUCCCGAGGCCUCUGCUUGGUUAUUUUACCCAGCAUCGGUGCCAAAGGAGAUUUCCCCAAAGGGAAAAGUACUGCAGUGCUCGACGCAUUACAGUCCUUUCCCGUUUGCAAGCUCUCCCACACAUUCCUUCUUCUGUUCCCAAAUCACAGGAGACGACGAGAAAGAGAACAGACCACCUGUCCAGAUAAUUUGCCUUUGGAGUCUGCAGGGCUGGUGAAGGCAUCCUGAGAUGGGGGAGGCCCCUGGGGACCUCCACAGUCAGGGCUCCCACCUCCUCUCCCACACCGCUCUGCCUCAUGCCCUGGGUUGCCUGUCUGACUGUCUCAAGACUGGGGGUUCUCCGGUGAGCAGAUGGCUGCUUAGCGUCUAUGCCGUGUGCCUGGCUUUUUCCAACCACUCCGAAUUGAUCAUUUCCUAAUGACCACAUGGCUCAGAAACUCACAGCACAUCCUUCUAGGGGCCUCUUUCUCCCAAGUCCUCCCAGGGACUUGGCAGCUUCAUCUCUAAGGCCUGCAGAGGCUGUGGCUAUGGCUGUCCAUUGUUCUCGCUCCUUGGCUUCAGUUCAGAGCCAUCAAAUCCC
RNAcentral lists this long non-coding RNA (714 nucleotides) under Homo sapiens (human). RNAcentral describes it as "non-protein coding lnc-CDH4-4:3". The record is from RNAcentral. Lineage: Eukaryota; Metazoa; Chordata; Mammalia; Primates; Hominidae.